RNAcentral lists this small RNA (149 nucleotides) under Arabidopsis thaliana (thale cress). RNAcentral describes it as "ATSL216580". The record is from RNAcentral. Lineage: Eukaryota; Viridiplantae; Streptophyta; Magnoliopsida; Brassicales; Brassicaceae.
CUUCUGCUUCUUCUUCUUCUUCUUCUUCUUCUUCUUCUGAUUCUUCUUCUGCUUCUUCUUUGUCUGCUUCUGCUUCUGCUUCUUCUGCUUUUUCUUCUUCUUCUGCUUCUCGUUCUGCUUCUCGUUCUGCUUCUCGUUCUGCUUCUUUU